Long non-coding RNA from Dipodomys spectabilis (banner-tailed kangaroo rat), 279 nucleotides. RefSeq lists it as uncharacterized. The record is from RefSeq and is a predicted model, not a curated record. The transcript is spliced from 3 exons. NCBI's taxonomy places the organism in Eukaryota, Metazoa, Chordata, Mammalia, Rodentia, Heteromyidae.
UGCCAUCAGACAGGAAUCUGGCCACCAAGCAGGCAGGAGCUACAGAAGUUAGGGGACUUACAGAAGGACCCUGAGGACCUGGCAAACCGGAGUCUCCUUUCUCUCCUUUCACUCCAUUGGCACCCUACAAAUAAACAGGAUAGAGAAAAUCAACAUGGCCAAUCCACUGGACUUUGUGGCAGGAGGAUUAUAAUACCUAAAAAGAAACCCAGCAAUUAUAUACUUAGGGCUACUUGGUAAGUCAUUUCUUAUUUAUAAUGACUAACAGUGGGAGAAGUA